GACGAACGCUGGCGGCGUGCUUAACACAUGCAAGUCGAGCGGAGCGGCGAACGGGUGAGUAAAGCGUGAGUAACUGCCACCCUCUCUGGGAUAAAAGUUGGAAACGGCUGCUAAUACCGGAUAGUGGGGGGGGACUCGGGUACUAUCAGAUUGGUGGUGGGGUAGGGGCGUACAAAGGCGACGACGGGUAGCCGGCCUGAGAGGGCUACCGGCCACAUUGGGCUGAGAUACGGCCCAAACUCCUACGUGAGGCAGCAGUGGGGAAUAUUGCACAAUGGUGGAAACCCUGAUGCAGCAACGCGCGUGCGGGAUGACGGCCUUCGGGUUGUAAACCGCUUUCAGCCAUGACGCGGUAGUGGCAGAAGAAGCACCGGCUAACUACGUGCCAGCCGCCGCGGUAAUAC
This 404-nucleotide ribosomal RNA is filed under the name uncultured bacterium. RNAcentral describes it as "partial 16S ribosomal RNA". It matches the Rfam family "Bacterial small subunit ribosomal RNA", at positions 28 to 526 of the family's 1533-position model. The record is from RNAcentral.